RNAcentral lists this ribosomal RNA (229 nucleotides) under uncultured bacterium. Its description in RNAcentral is "partial 16S ribosomal RNA". It matches the Rfam family "Bacterial small subunit ribosomal RNA", at positions 524 to 753 of the family's 1533-position model. The record is from RNAcentral.
GACAGAGGGUGCAAACGUUGUUCGGAAUUACUGGGCGUAAAGCGCGUGUAGGCUGCUUCGCAAGUCGGGUGUGAAAGCCCUGGGCUCAACCUAGGAAGUGCACUCGAAACUGCGAGCUUGAGUCCUGGAGAGGAAGGCGGAAUUCUCGGUGUAGAGGUGAAAUUCGUAGAUAUCGAGAGGAACACCGGUGGCGAAGGCGGCCUUCUGGACAGUGACUGACGCUGAGACG